RNAcentral lists this transfer RNA (68 nucleotides) under Rachycentron canadum (cobia). Its description in RNAcentral is "tRNA-Ser". Lineage: Eukaryota; Metazoa; Chordata; Actinopteri; Carangiformes; Rachycentridae. The record is from RNAcentral.
AGAGAGGCUCGCAGCAAUAUAAGCCUGCUAAUUUUUGAUUCUUUGGUUGGACUCCAAAGCUCACUCGA